AAACAUUACAGUAGAACUGAACACAUGUGCUCCUGCAAGGUAAUGUUUGCCUGCUAGGCAAGCUACCUUGGAAGAGACAGGUAUAGGUUUUCACGUAUUCAGACGUUCCUGAGUUCUGGACAUACCAUAUUUUCCAGAAUACAUUGACAAGAUAGCAUAUAGGGGCAGCAGGUAGCCUAGUGGUUAGAGUGUUGGGCCAGUAACCAAAAGGCUGCUGGAUUGAAUCCCGGAGAUGACAAGGGAUCAGGUGGCACAUGCAAUGUAAGAUCUCCAGUUUUGCAGCAUUCAAGUACAAAUACGUGACAACCACAACAUUGUGAGUGCCAAAAUGGCAAAGACCUUCUCAUAUUGAAGACAAGAUGUCGUUCAGGCCCUUCCUGUGAAGGACUUCAAAGAAAGAUGGCCAGCCCUGUUUGAGCCCACUCAGAUUAAGGAAGAGUUCAGAAGAAUUACAACUGUUGCUCUUGAGUCCACCUUUAUCCAGAAGCUGGACGAAUAUACACCAAAACUAUUGGACUUGUUUAAGUCAAAACGAGGUGCUGUAAAGUGCAACACCAUCCAGGAAAGAAGAGACAGUGUGAUCCGUGGCCUGAUCAUAUACCUUGGUGAGAGGUUUGAAGACCUUAUUACAGAAUACAAGGAUGCUAACGACGCCAUGAUCCGAGAGGACCUCGUUCAGCAUGUGAUGAAGGUGUUCACUGUGAAGGAUCUGCACCAGAAUAUAGAGCAUGUGAUCUACAAUCGAAGGAGCAGAGGUCCUGGCAGGUAUUUGCAGUGUUACAGUCAUGUAACAGGUACCCAAAAUAACUGAAAUAAGGUACCCAAAAGAACUGAAAUAUACCUUUGAGGUGUUCCAAAAAGUAUUCUUAGAACUUGAUGAUCUCAGGACCUUUCCACGGUUCCAAGCUCUAAAGAUGAAGUUACUUGUUUUCAGAGAUAUCUAUGAGAACUCUCAAAGGGCCACUCACAAACUGUGGUCUAAACCCUACUCAGUAAGCUGAUAAGCUAGUUGCUAGGUGGUAUAGGAGCUACAGUUUACAUGAUGUUCUUUUUCAAGUGAAGUCAUAAGAGACAUUGUUAAUUCCUGGUUAAAAAAACUGCUUUGUUUUAAAAGUUACUUCAUAUGCACUAGUGAAUUUCUGAGAUUAUUUGUAGUCAGGUGCAAGCUAUCUGGAUGCAACUUUACCUAAGGAGGCAAGGUGGAGUUGUACCCAGAAUGCUUAUACCUGUCAAAAUAAUAUGUCCAUAUGGGCUUCACUAGUGCAAAUGGAGUCAGGUUUAAGGGACAAUUUGGCAUAUAUUUUGUAACAAUAUGUGCAAUGUAUGUUUUGAAAAGCCAUGUUUUGAUUAAUCUAAAACAGUUUGAAUGAGGAGGUAUUUGAGCUAAAGUUCAUAUUGUGCUUUGUGUAAAGUCUAUUAAGAUAAAUCGUUAAUUUACGUUUCUGUUAAAAUAUCGCUUUGAUGUUAAGGGGCACACAGACCAGGGAAUUCUUGCUAAAAUGUACAAGAUGUGAGGUCUAAGUGCUAAUCCCAAACUAUCACCUAAACUUUAUGCAGCUGUGAAGAUCUGAAAUGAUUUGUAGUCAGGUGCAAGCUAUCUGGAUGUUAUACCCAGAAUGCUUACAGAUUACAAAAUAAUGAGCUCCACAAAUGCUUAAGGAGUAGGGUUUAAUUUGAGAUUGAAGUUUGAAGAAAACCUUUAUUCAAAAUAAAGUUGUUGAAGUUUGAAGUUGAACACUGUUGUUUCUUUUUGCAUAUUCCCUUCUAUAGAAAAAAAUAAAAAAACGUAAAUUAUCCCAAGUAUAUUGAGGUAACUAUUUGCAUCAGCUUUUUAAGUAUAGUUGUGAGUAUAUAUUUGAGUAGUAGGAACCCAAUUUAAAUACAUUUUACUAACCUGAGUACCAUAAGUAACUGAGCAAAAAACAUUUGUAGAUUAAACAUAGAAUAUAAAUUACGGUACUGAGUAAAUUCAGCAAAUGAAACUUACAAUAUUAGUUCAGUAACUGAUUACAUUAAGUAUAUCAAACGUAUAACAUUAGUUCUGGGACUUGAAGGACUUAAGCAGGUCAAAAAAAAAAACUGAUGAUCCUGAUAAAAUUAAGUUGAAUGAAAGGAAUUUUUGAGAUCCUGUUAGUUGUUUGCACUUAAAAUAUUUGAGUUUGUAAUGUACUAAAAGCGAAGUAUAUUAUACUUAAAUGAUCCUCCUUGUUGGAUUUACUUAAAAGACCGAUGCAAAUAAUGACCAAAUUUUUUGGAGGAAAAGGGGCACAAUAUUUUUUACAGUGCAAUGAUAACUCUCAUCACGAGUUCCCAUGAGAGCGAGAAAGAGAGAGACAUUUUUACACAUGCCUCCAAGCAUCCCAGUUCUCCUGAACUCAUAGCUAUCUGAACUUGGUUAUCUGGUGCAUCUAAUCCUAUUAGCACUCAC
This 2428-nucleotide long non-coding RNA is filed under the name Salmo salar (Atlantic salmon). Its description in RNAcentral is "lncRNA (ENSSSAG00000119339.1)". The record is from RNAcentral. Lineage: Eukaryota; Metazoa; Chordata; Actinopteri; Salmoniformes; Salmonidae.